AUGUGUAUACUAUCCCAUGGUGGGGGCGAAGGAGUUAUACUGUGCUUGUAUGUUGAUGACAUACUGAUAUUCGGAACAAACCUCAAAGUCAUUGAGGAGGUCAAAUCAUUUCUGUCUCAGAACUUUGAGAUGAAGGACCUUGGUGUGGCUGAUGUUAUCUUGAACAUCAAGCUACUGAGAGAUAAUGAGGGUGGGAUCACACUUCUGCAAUCCCAUUAUGUUGAGAAGGUGUUGAGUCGUUUUGGAUAUUCGGACUGCACACCAUCUCAAACACCAUAUGAUCCUAGCGUGUUGAUUCGAAAGUCCAAAGGCAUGUCUAAAGAUCAAUUGAGAUAUUCUCAAAUCAUUGGUUCACUGAUGUACCUAGCGAGCGCAACGAGGCCUGACAUCGCGUUUGUUGUGAGCAAACUGAGCCGGUUUGUUUCCAAACCGGGUGAUGUACAUUGA
RNAcentral lists this ribosomal RNA (447 nucleotides) under Triticum aestivum (bread wheat). Its description in RNAcentral is "partial small subunit ribosomal RNA". Lineage: Eukaryota; Viridiplantae; Streptophyta; Magnoliopsida; Poales; Poaceae. The record is from RNAcentral.